CUUUGGCCACCCCAAACCUGCGUCUUGCCGACCGGCGGGCGCACGCUGCUGUCACUCCGGAGAGCGCAGCCGCCGUGCAUUGUGCUCCCUGCCGGGCAGCACCCGCCCGCCACCGAGCGCGGCCGGGGCCGGCGGGACCCGAGCACGACCCAGCCGUAAGGGCGGGGCGGGAGGGCCCCGUGCGCUGCGGUGCUUCCGUCGGACCCGUGUCCGCUUCCGCCCGGCGCUGCCGCUCUUCUCCCGGCUAGCGGCAGCGCGCUUGGACCCCGACCGACGUCUGUUAGAUGCCAAGUAAAGAAGGUAAAGAAGCCUGUCCACACGAAAGACUUACUAGCCAGUAAAGGGAUAUGCUGCCUGGAGCAGAGAUGAGGUCAGGCAAGCCAAGACAAAGUAUGUUGAAUAGGAAAGGAAAGAAAAUGCACGCAUGACACUCCCCGUGCUCUCCUCAUAAGGAAGACAGGAAAACUACAGGCAACUAUCGUGGAGAAGGCUGAGAUACUCAGCAAUUUUUUCAUCUCAGUUUUCCAUGGGACUCGUUUUGUGCCUUCUUUGGGGGUGAGGAGAAAAGGCUGGGAGAUGAGUUGGAGGCUUGAGGGCUCAGAUCUCUUUUGGGGCACCCCAACAUCCGUGGGAGAGCCAUGCUGCAGUGGAGGAGCAGGUGAGUGGGGAAUCAGGGGGAGUCAUGUUGGGUGUCCUCCCCCAGAAGGACCCAAAGCUGCCAGAAGAUUCACAGGGAGGGAUGAGUAUAGAAUACCAAAACCUGUCAAGUUUUUCUUUCUUAUAUAUAUUAACAAUCUAAAUUUAUUUAUAAAUUCAUUUUAUAAUAAGCCCUCUCUAUCUACUAUAUUAUGUACAGGAAUAUAAGAAACUCGGACAAGACGUGCAGGUUUUUGAAAAUAAUGCCAUAACGUUUUUAUAUAGGAAUGAAACAAUCAAGUGCCUGAAACCAUAAGAAAAGCUGCUGGCGCUGAAGGGAGUAGGACGCUCUGGCAAUUUUUGCGUCCAUUCUCUGCCCGCCCCUCAAGCUCGUCGCAGCCCCGGGCUGACUUCGGCGGCAGUGCAGCCACCUUGUGGGCAGAGAGCGGUACUGCAGCCCCCCGAGCCAGCGCCCUGGCCCUCGCCGCUGGGUGACAGGAGACAGGGGUGAUGACUGCUCUCAGCAAAGGCUCUUUAUUAUUCCUCUGUCAGAUUUCCCUCAGCGCUGGGCAAGGAAGGCGAGGGUUUGGAUUAGGAAUUCUGCAAGCAGGGCCUGUGUGACCACUGGCUUCCUGUGUGUGUGUCAGUGACCAAAAUCAAGAGCAAAGAUGCUGGAAAAUGCCUCUCUGGAUGUGUGCUGAGCUCUUGCUGUGGACUGUACACUAAUAUGCAUGCUAAUUGCUGCAGUUUCCCAUUCUCACUGGGGAAUUGGAAAUAAUUAUUUGGGCUGCAAAGAUGUUUUCUGAAACCUUUCCCAUUUUUCUGCCUUUUAAUGGUAGAUUUUCUCUUUCUGCCUUUGAAUUUUAUAGUGAUUUUCUGAUGUCAUUCACCUACCCAAAUUCCUUGCAGCUCCUGGGGCAGAGAGAAGCUUCUGUGGCCUACAUUCAGUGGGAGAAUGAUACUGUGUGUCCCACCUCUUUAAUUUAACUGCUUUUUAUAUCUUAGAGUGUAGACUUAGUUGAUCCUUUUUCAACUGAAUGUGGCAGGCUGAACUCACCUGAGUUACUGAACCAUAAUUUAGAUAGCUGAGUUUUUUUAAAGCAGAAAACAACCAAGCUUUUUGUCUAUAGGCUUUACUGGUAUUGCUCCUGCACAUGUUUUAUCUAGUCUGAGACUUGAACACCAGCUCUCAAAGUCCAGUUCUUUAUGAUCAUCCACAUGGCCAUGAAGGUCAAAUUAGCCAUUACUUUGAUGGUUGCCUUUGACAUUAUGGUCCUGGAGGCAAAUUUGAGAUUACUAAGAGUACAGCAGCAGUUCUGCUUCUCUUCCAUUAUUGUCUGUGUUUGAACUGGGUGGGAGUCCCGUGCACUCGUGGUUUUGAGGGUCUUGA
This is a long non-coding RNA of Vidua chalybeata, 2026 nucleotides long. RefSeq lists it as uncharacterized. NCBI's taxonomy places the organism in Eukaryota, Metazoa, Chordata, Aves, Passeriformes, Viduidae. The record is from RefSeq and is a predicted model, not a curated record. The transcript is spliced from 5 exons.